GAUGAACGCUGGCGGCGUGCCUAAUACAUGCAAGUCGAGCGAACAGAUAAGGAGCUUGCUCCUUUGACGUUAGCGGCGGACGGGUGAGUAACACGUGGGUAACCUACCUAUAAGACUGGAAUAACUCCGGGAAACCGGGGCUAAUGCCGGAUAACAUUUAGAACCGCAUGGUUCUAAAGUGAAAGAUGGUUUUGCUAUCACUUAUAGAUGGACCCGCGCCGUAUUAGCUAGUUGGUAAGGUAACGGCUUACCAAGGCAACGAUACGUAGCCGACCUGAGAGGGUGAUCGGCCACACUGGAACUGAGACACGGUCCAGACUCCUACGGGAGGCAGCAGUAGGGAAUCUUCCGCAAUGGGCGAAAGCCUGACGGAGCAACGCCGCGUGAGUGAUGAAGGUCUUCGGAUCGUAAAACUCUGUAUUAGGGAAGAACAAAUGUGUAAGUAACUGUGCACGUCUUGACGGUACCUAAUCAGAAAGCCACGGCUAACUACGUG
RNAcentral lists this ribosomal RNA (496 nucleotides) under uncultured bacterium. RNAcentral's name for it is "partial 16S ribosomal RNA". It matches the Rfam family "Bacterial small subunit ribosomal RNA", at positions 28 to 507 of the family's 1533-position model. The record is from RNAcentral.